Molecule: ribosomal RNA, 254 nt
Filed under: uncultured bacterium
Lineage: Bacteria
Description: partial 16S ribosomal RNA
Rfam family: Bacterial small subunit ribosomal RNA
Source: RNAcentral
UACGUAGGGUGCGAGCGUUGUCCGGAAUUAUUGGGCGUAAAGAGCUCGUAGGCGGUCUGUCGCGUCGGUCGUGAAAACUUGGGGCUUAACCCUGAGCUUGCGGUCGAUACGGGCAUGACUGGAGUUCGGUAGGGGAGACUGGAAUUCCUGGUGUAGCGGUGAAAUGCGUAGAUAUCGAGAGGAACACCUGCGGCGAAGGCGGGUUGCUGGGCUGACACUGACGCUGAGGCGCGAAAGCCAGGGGAGCGAACGGG